Molecule: ribosomal RNA, 1370 nt
Filed under: Nepsalus caelestis
Lineage: Eukaryota; Metazoa; Arthropoda; Insecta; Neuroptera; Myrmeleontidae
Description: 16S ribosomal RNA
Rfam family: Archaeal large subunit ribosomal RNA (bases 891-1249)
Source: RNAcentral
GAUUAAUUUGUAUUUACUUUUUUUGUUAGUUAAUAUUUAUAUUUAAUUUAAGUAUAUUUACUUUUUUUGUUUAUGUAUAUUUUUGAUUAAAUAAUUUUAGUAAUAGUAAAUUAGUACGGUAGGGGAAAAUUUAUAUACGUAGGAUAUUAUUUAAUAAGAAGAGUUGAUUUUUUGUACCUUUUGUAUCAGGGUUUAUUAAAAUGUAAAUAAUUAUUUUUAUUUUUCCCGAAUUUAAUGGAGCUAAAUUUUUAUGAAUCUUGCUGUUGCAAAAUUAUUUUUAAUAAGAUUUUAGUGAUUAUACGUUAGUCGUUAUUAAAUAUAUCUGGUUCUUUAAGAUUUGAAUUUAAUUUAUUUAUUUAUGUUAAAUUAGUUUAAUUUAAUCAAUCUAAUUUAUUUUAAAUAAAAAAGGUUUUAGGGAUAAGCUUAAAAUUUUUAUCUAUAAUUUAUUAAUUAUUAAUUUUGUAAUUAGUAGGAUUAGAAAUUUUUAUCUUUUUAAAAAGUGUUAUAAUUAAUUUUUUAAAUAAAUAGAAUUUAUUAUUUCAAUUUAGAUUUUUUAUUAAAGAGUUUUAGUUAAUUUUUUUUAAUAGUAAUAAUGAUAAAAUUAGUAUUAUUUUUUUUGUUAAUAUAAAAAUUAUAUUAAGAUAAUAAUAAGGAAUUCAGCAACAUUAUACUCGCCUGUUUAUCAAAAACAUGUCUUUUUGUUUAUAAUAUAAAGUCUAACCUGCCCACUGAUUAAUUGAAGGGCCGCAGUAUAUUGACUGUGCAAAGGUAGCAUAAUCAUUUGCCUUUUAAUUGGAGGCUGGAAUGAAUGGUUGAACGAAGUAUAAACUGUCUCAUUAUUAUAAUUUAAUAAUUUGAUUUUUCAGUUAAAAAGCUGAAAUUUGUUUGAAGGACGAGAAGACCCUAUAGAACUUUAUAAUAAAUUAAUAAAAUUUAUUUAGAUAGAAAUUUCUUAUUUAUUAUUGAUAUUAUUUUGUUGGGGUGACAGGAAGAUAAAUUUAACUCUUUUGUUUUAAAACAUUAAUUUAUGAUUAAUUUUUGAUCCAGUAUUAUUGAUUUUUAGAAUAAGUUACCUUAGGGAUAACAGCGUAAUUUUAUUGGAGAGUUCAUAUCGAUAAUGAAGAUUGCGACCUCGAUGUUGAAUUAAAGAAAUUUUUUAGUGCAGAAGCUAAUUAGGUAGGUCUGUUCGACCUUUAAAUCUUUACAUGAUUUGAGUUCAGACCGGCGUGAGCCAGGUCGGUUUCUAUCCUUAAAAUAAUAUUUUGAUUUAGUACGAAAGGACCAAUCAUGGAAAUAAAAUUUUUUUAAAAUUGAAUAAAAUUAAUUUUUAAUUACUUUGGCAGAUUAGUGCGUUGAAUUUAGAAUUCAAU